RNAcentral lists this ribosomal RNA (492 nucleotides) under uncultured bacterium. RNAcentral's name for it is "partial 16S ribosomal RNA". It matches the Rfam family "Bacterial small subunit ribosomal RNA", at positions 29 to 507 of the family's 1533-position model. The record is from RNAcentral.
AGUGAACGCUGGCGGUAGGCCUAACACAUGCAAGUCGAACGGCAGCACAGUAAGAGCUUGCUCUUACGGGUGGCGAGUGGCGGACGGGUGAGGAAUACAUCGGAAUCUACUUUUUCGUGGGGGAUAACGUAGGGAAACUUACGCUAAUACCGCAUACGACCUACGGGUGAAAGCAGGGGAUCUUCGGACCUUGCGCGAUUGAAUGAGCCGAUGUCGGAUUAGCUAGUUGGCGGGGUAAAGGCCCACCAGGGCGACGAUCCGUAGCUGGUCUGAGAGGAUGAUCAGCCACACUGGAACUGAGACACGGUCCAGACUCCUACGGGAGGCAGCAGUGGGGAAUAUUGGACAAAGGGCGCAAGCCUGAUCCAGCCAUACCGCGUGGGUGAAGAAGGCCUUCGGGUUGUAAAGCCCUUUUGUUGGGAAAGAAAUGCAGCCGGCUAAUACCUGGUUGGGAUGACGGUACCCAAAGAAUAAGCACCGGCUAACUUCGUG